UUAUCCUCUUCAUGGGCUUUCCGAAGCUCGGCCCAUUGUUCACUUUCGAACCGUUGUUGACUUUACCGAACUCCUCACCUCGUUGGAGUAAGAGCAUGGACUUCGGUUCGUCAUUAAUUUUCCGUUCACUCAUCUUCCUUCAUACCUUAUGCUUACAUGACAAUCUUCGGUUGGAUCUAAGUACUAGGUUUGGGGUCAGACACCAACAAAAAUU
Molecule: long non-coding RNA, 214 nt
Organism: Arabidopsis thaliana (thale cress)
Lineage: Eukaryota; Viridiplantae; Streptophyta; Magnoliopsida; Brassicales; Brassicaceae
Product: other RNA
Exons: 1
Source: RefSeq